GAUGAUGAACGUAGCGAAAUGCGAUACGUAAUGUGAAUUGCAGAAUUCAGUGAAUCAUCGAAUCUUUGAACGCAUAUUGCGCUCUCUGGUAUUCCGGAGAGCAUGCUUGUUUGAGUAUCAGUAAACACCUCAACUCCCUUUUCUUUUUUGAAAUGGGAGCUGGACUUGAGUGAUCCCAACACUUUUCUCACUGGAAAGUGGCGGGUCACUUGAAAUGCAGGUGCAGCUGGACUUUUCUCUGAGCUAUAAGCAUAUCUAUUUAGUCUGCCUAAAAAACAGAUUAUUACCUUUGCUGCAGCUAACAUAAAGGAGAUGAGUUCUUGUGCUGACUGAUGCAGGAUUCACAGAGACAGCUUUGCGGCUGACUUUGUAAACUCGAUCUCAAAUCAAGUAAGACUACCCGCUGAACUUAAGCAUAUCAAUAAGCGGAGGA
RNAcentral lists this unclassified non-coding RNA (433 nucleotides) under soil metagenome. RNAcentral describes it as "partial contains 5.8S ribosomal RNA, internal transcribed spacer 2, and large subunit ribosomal RNA". The stretch from base 1 to 120 matches the Rfam family "5.8S ribosomal RNA", at positions 35 to 154 of the family's 154-position model. The record is from RNAcentral.